AUGUUUGAGGGGGCUACAGGGAAAGCAUGCGAUAACUUUAAUAGUCGUAAUGUCCUGAAGGAAAAACUGGAGGAUGAACUGCGUGGGAAACAGAUUUUACUGGUACUGGAUGAUGUCUGGUACAACAGUAGGAAUUCGGGAGACCGUGAAGAACUAAAAACGUUAAUUUCUCCUCUGAAUGUUGGAAAGGAAGGAAGCAGAAUCUUGGUGACAAGUCGAACUGAAGCUGCAUUAGUAGCUCUGGGUUCUGUCAAGGAGAGACGUAUUCCCAUAUCUAACCUGGAUGAUGAAGUGUUCCUUGAAAUGUUCAUGCAUUAUGCGCUUCGGGAUGCAAGGGUAAGUGACCAUGAUAGAAGAAUACUUGAAAUGAUUGGAGAGGACAUUGCGAAAAAGCUGAAGGGAUCACCUCUAGCAGCCAGAACAGUGGGUUCACGGCUCCGUUGA
Molecule: ribosomal RNA, 444 nt
Filed under: Triticum aestivum (bread wheat)
Lineage: Eukaryota; Viridiplantae; Streptophyta; Magnoliopsida; Poales; Poaceae
Description: partial small subunit ribosomal RNA
Source: RNAcentral